Hibiscus syriacus is the source of this 332-nucleotide long non-coding RNA. RefSeq lists it as uncharacterized. Lineage: Eukaryota; Viridiplantae; Streptophyta; Magnoliopsida; Malvales; Malvaceae. The record is from RefSeq and is a predicted model, not a curated record. The transcript has 3 exons.
CUCCACUCACUCUGGAGUUUGGGGGCCUUGGAAUAAUCAGGGUUUAGCCUAUCAUGGCAGAUUUGGAAGUCCAGAUCAUACUACUGAUUACAGCAAGGGACAAAGCAGUGGCACAAGGAAUAAAGACAAAAAUUGUUCCAUUUAUCACAAUGAAACUGUGGAACUUUCCUAUCUCGGCUCAUCUAUCUACUAUGGAGGCCAAGAAAAUUAUUCUCCAAGGAACAAAACCACCCAGUCUCCCCCAUAUUUCAAAUUGGAUGGGGGACAUGAUGAUCGUAAUGGAAACGAUUCUAGUGAUUCUGCUUCAAGAGGAAAUUGGUGGAAGGGUAUGA